This 77-nucleotide transfer RNA is filed under the name candidate division SR1 bacterium CG_4_9_14_3_um_filter_40_9. RNAcentral describes it as "tRNA-Asp". It matches the Rfam family "tRNA". Rfam says of the family: Transfer RNA (tRNA) molecules are approximately 80 nucleotides in length. The record is from RNAcentral. Lineage: Bacteria; Candidatus Absconditibacteriota. RNAcentral also lists the same sequence under 2 other names.
GGAGUGGUAGUUCAGCUGGUUAGAACGCCCGCCUGUCACGCGGGAGGUCGAGGGUUCGAGUCCCUUCCAUUCCGCCA